RNAcentral lists this ribosomal RNA (492 nucleotides) under uncultured bacterium. Its description in RNAcentral is "partial 16S ribosomal RNA". It matches the Rfam family "Bacterial small subunit ribosomal RNA", at positions 29 to 507 of the family's 1533-position model. The record is from RNAcentral.
AGCGAACGCUGGCGGUAGGCCUAACACAUGCAAGUCGAACGGCAGCACAGUAAGAGCUUGCUCUUACGGGUGGCGAGUGGCGGACGAGUGAGGAAUACAUCGGAAUCUACUUUUUCGUGGGGGCUAACGAAGGGAAACUUACGCUAAUACAGCAUACGACCUACGGGGGAAAGCAGGGGAUCUUCGGACCUUGCGCGAUUGAAUGAGCCGAUGUCAGAUUAGCUAGUUGGCGGGGUAAAGGCCCACCUAGGCGCCGAUCCGUAGCUGGUCUGAGAGGAAGAUUGACCACAUGGGAAGUGAGACAGGGUCCAGACUCCUGCGGGAGGAAGCAGUCGGGAAUAUUGGGCAAUGGGGGAGAGCCUGAUCCAGCCAUACCGCGUGGGUGAAGAAGGCGUUCGGGUUGGAAAGCCCUUUUGUUGGGAGAGAAAAGCAGCAGUUUAAUACGCCGCUGUUCUGACGGUACCCAAAGAAGAAGCACCGGCUAACUUCGUG